AUUUUUCCCGCAAUAAACUUGGGAAGAAGAUAUUUUCACCUCUCAUGGCUGCCAUUCGUUUUCGCGCGGCAAAGCUCCAAAGCAUUCUGAUUCAAUCAACUACCGAACCAUCCAUGUUUGUAAAUUGCAAUGGCGACGAUCUUCCCUUUUCAAUCACGUACGUCUCUUCAAACAUCUCUCAACGCCAUUCGACCUAAUCGCCCUCUCAAAAUCUGCACAAUCCGAUGUCAAGGGGACAAUCCCGCUACCGAUUCGCCGAAGAAUCAAGAAUCUAAGCCCGAGAAUGCGGUGCUGAAGGUCGCUUGGUAUGGCUCCGAGCUCUUGGGGAUCGCCGCUUCAUUUCUCCGUCCGCCGACGGAUGUUGAAACGCCUGUUAGGGCUCAGGAGCUUGCGAGAGAUGUGUCCGGUGCAAUUCGUCGCCCUGUGAUUGUGGAAACGAUUAAGAAGGAUUUUGAGCGGUCGUACUUCGUCACAGGGAACCUUACUGUUGAAGCUUAUGAAGAGCAGUGCGAAUUUGCUGAUCCGGCUGGUUCUUUCAAAGGUCUUAGCCGAUUUAAAAGAAACUGUACAAAUUUUGGAUCCCUUGUUGAUAAGUCAAACAUGAAGCUUACCAAAUGGGAGGAUUUUGAGGACAAGGGCAUUGGACAUUGGAAGUUCAGUUGUAUCUUGUCAUUUCCUUGGAGACCAAUUCUAUCUGCAACUGGAUAUACAGAGUAUUAUUUUGAUGCAGGAUCUGGAAAAGUAAGCAGGCAUGUAGAACACUGGAAUGUUCCUAAAAUGGCUUUACUGAACCAAAUUUUGAGACCCACUCGAGCUUGGUUGUGGUUUAAGAAACCAGGUGCUGACUGAUUCUUCUUUCUCAUAAGAACACAGCUUAGAUCAUAAACCUUUUCUUGUAAAUGUUUUAAUUUGAUUUAGAAAUCAUAUUUUGUGGGGUAAUGUAAGGAAAUUAUAUGUAAUAGAGAGAAUUGCAAAGAAACUUAGUCAUGGGUUAAAGGACAAGUAAGAACACUUAGCUCUUCCGAUAAGGAAUCACUCUAGGGAAGAGUAAAAUUUGGAUAACUUUGAUCACAUUUGUUUGAGAUUUGAAUCAUUCUACAAGUAAGAUCAAUUAUAUCAAGCCUGAUUUUAAACUA
This is a non-coding RNA of Cucurbita pepo subsp. pepo (vegetable marrow), 1136 nucleotides long. The record is from RefSeq and is a predicted model, not a curated record. Lineage: Eukaryota; Viridiplantae; Streptophyta; Magnoliopsida; Cucurbitales; Cucurbitaceae.